UUUGUAAAAAAAAAAAUCAAUAAAAUAUAUUUAAAAAAAAAAAGGUUGGAGAGAGCAGCCCUUAUUGGAGAAUAUCACAGGGCUGCAUGCACUACCCAACAUUC
RNAcentral lists this small nucleolar RNA (104 nucleotides) under Myotis davidii. Its description in RNAcentral is "Small Cajal body specific RNA 4". It matches the Rfam family "Small Cajal body specific RNA 4". Rfam says of the family: scaRNAs are a specific class of small nuclear RNAs which localise to the Cajal bodies and guide the modification of RNA polymerase II transcribed spliceosomal RNAs U1, U2, U4, U5 and U12. ACA26 belongs to the H/ACA box class of guide RNAs as it has the predicted hairpin-hinge-hairpin-tail structure, conserved H/ACA-box motifs and is found associated with GAR1. Lineage: Eukaryota; Metazoa; Chordata; Mammalia; Chiroptera; Vespertilionidae. The record is from Rfam by way of RNAcentral.